GAUGAACGCUGGCGGCGUGCCUAAUACAUGCAAGUCGAGCGAACGGACGAGAAGCUUGCUUCUCUGAUGUUAGCGGCGGACGGGUGAGUAACACGUGGAUAACCUACCUAUAAGACUGGGAUAACUUCGGGAAACCGGAGCUAAUACCGGAUAAUAUUUUGAACCGCAUGGUUCAAAAGUGAAAGACGGUCUUGCUGUCACUUAUAGAUGGAUCCGCGCUGCAUUAGCUAGUUGGUAAGGUAACGGCUUACCAAGGCAACGAUGCAUAGCCGACCUGAGAGGGUGAUCGGCCACACUGGAACUGGGACACGGUCCAGACUCCUACGGGAGGCAGCAGUAGGGAAUCUUCCGCAAUGGGCGAAAGCCUGACGGAGCAACGCCGCGUGAGUGAUGAAGGUCUUCGGAUCGUAAAACUCUGUUAUUAGGGAAGAACAUAUGUGUAAGUAACUGUGCACAUCUUGACGGUACCUAAUCAGAAAGCCACGGCUAACUACCUGCCAGCAGCCGCGGUAGUACGUAGGUGGCAAGCGUUAUCCGGAAUUAUUGGGCGUAAGCGCGCGUAGGCGGUUUUUUAGUCUGAUGUGAAAGCCCACGGCUCAACCGUGGAGGGUCAUUGGAAACUGGAAAACUUGAGUGCAGAAGAGGAAAGUGGAAUUCCAUGUGUAGCGGUGAAAUGCGCAGAGACAUGGAGGAACACCAGUGGCGAAGGCGACUUUCUGGUCUGUAACUGACGCUGAUGUGCGAAAGCGUGGGGAUCAAACAGGAUUAGAUACCCUGGUAGUCCACGCCGUAAACGAUGAGUGCUAAGUGUUAGGGGGUUUCCGCCCCUUAGUGCUGCAGCUAACGCAUUAAGCACUCCGCCUGGGGAGUACGACCGCAAGGUUGAAACUCAAAGGAAUUGACGGGGACCCGCACAAGCGGUGGAGCAUGUGGUUUAAUUCGAAGCAACGCGAAGAACCUUACCAAAUCUUGACAUCCUUUGACAACUCUAGAGAUAGAGCCUUCCCCUUCGGGGGACAAAGUGACAGGUGGUGCAUGGUUGUCGUCAGCUCGUGUCGUGAGAUGUUGGGUUAAGUCCCGCAACGAGCGCAACCCUUAAGCUUAGUUGCCAUCAUUAAGUUGGGCACUCUAAGUUGACUGCCGGUGACAAACCGGAGGAAGGUGGGGAUGACGUCAAAUCGUCAUGCCCCUUAUGAUUUGGGCUACACACGUGCUACAAUGGACAAUACAAAGGCAGCGAAACCGCGAGGUCAAGCAAAUCCCAUAAAGUUGUUCUCAGUUCGGAUUGUAGUCUGCAACUCGACUACAUGAAGCUGGAAUCGCUAGUAAUCGUAGAUCAGCAUGCUACGGUGAAUACGUUCCCGGGUCU
Molecule: ribosomal RNA, 1369 nt
Filed under: uncultured bacterium
Lineage: Bacteria
Description: bacterial SSU rRNA
Rfam family: Bacterial small subunit ribosomal RNA
Source: RNAcentral